GAUGAACGCUGACAGAAUGCUUAACACAUGCAAGUCAACUUGAACUUCGGUUUGGGUGGCGGACGGGUGAGUAACGCGUAAAGAACUUGCCUCACAGAUAGGGACAACAUUUGGAAACGAAUGCUAAUACCUGAUAUUAUGAUUAUAUGGCAUCGUAUAAUUAUGAAAGCUAUAUGCGCUGUGAGAGAGCUUUGCGUCCCAUUAGCUAGUUGGAGAGGUAACGGCUCACCAAGGCGAUGAUGGGUAGCCGGCCUGAGAGGGUGAUCGGCCACAAGGGGACUGAGACACGGCCCUUACUCCUACGGGAGGCAGCAGUGGGGAAUAUUGGACAAUGGACCAAGAGUCUGAUCCAGCAAUUCUGUGUGCACGAUGAAGUUUUUCGGAAUGUAAAGUGCUUUCAGUUGGGAAGAAAAAAAUGACGGUACCAACAGAAGAAGUGACGGCUAAAUACG
This 452-nucleotide ribosomal RNA is filed under the name uncultured bacterium. RNAcentral describes it as "partial 16S ribosomal RNA". It matches the Rfam family "Bacterial small subunit ribosomal RNA", at positions 28 to 505 of the family's 1533-position model. The record is from RNAcentral.